Molecule: non-coding RNA, 124 nt
Organism: Brachypodium distachyon (stiff brome)
Lineage: Eukaryota; Viridiplantae; Streptophyta; Magnoliopsida; Poales; Poaceae
Source: Rfam
CACCUACUCCCUCCGUCUCAUAUUAAGUGACUUUUUAUGACAUGUAUCUAAACGUUUUUAGGCAUAGAUACAUUCAUAUUUGGACAAAUUUGAGUCACUUAGCAUGGGACGGAGGGAGUAUUAC